CCUACGGGGGGCAGCAGUGGGGAAUAUUGGACAAUGGGGGGAACCCUGAUCCAGCCAUGCCGCGUGUGUGAAGAAGGCCCUCGGGUUGUAAAGCACUUUCAGUGAGGAAGAACGCCUGGUGGUUAAUACCCAUCAGGAAAGACAUCACUCACAGAAGAAGCACCGGCUAACUCCGUGCCAGCAGCCGCGGUAAUACGGAGGGUGCGAGCGUUAAUCGGAAUUACUGGGCGUAAAGCGCGCGUAGGUGGCUUGAUAAGCCGGUUGUGAAAGCCUCGGGCUCAACCUGGGAACGGCAUCCGGAACUGUCAAGCUAGAGUGCAGGAGAGGAAGGUAGAAUUCCCGGUGUAGCGGUGAAAUGCGUAGAGAUCGGGAGGAAUACCAGUGGCGAAGGCGGCCUUCUGGACUGACACUGACACUGAGGUGCGAAAGCGUGGGUAGCAAACAGGAUUAGAUACCCCAGUAGUC
RNAcentral lists this ribosomal RNA (465 nucleotides) under Vreelandella stevensii. Its description in RNAcentral is "partial 16S ribosomal RNA". It matches the Rfam family "Bacterial small subunit ribosomal RNA", at positions 338 to 795 of the family's 1533-position model. Lineage: Bacteria; Pseudomonadati; Pseudomonadota; Gammaproteobacteria; Oceanospirillales; Halomonadaceae. The record is from RNAcentral.